AUACGCUCUGGUCCAGUCAGACUCAACUUAGAAAACGAGACGACUUCAUUCUGCUCUGCUCCGUUCAACUGACGUUCAAAUACAGCAUCCAAGAAUGAAGUGCAGGCGCUUGUUGCUCUCCCUGCCUCUCUUACCCACCAUCACUGAGACACUGGAGGACUCUCCUGUCCAUCCCUCAUCCUCCCAAACCACCCAGGGCUCCCAGUCUCUAGACGACUACAUGAGCAGCAUCCAGGCCCUCGCCUGCCCCGCUGAGGCCCCGAGCUGCGGCCCCGUCAGGCUCCAGAGAACCCCCAGGCUACGGCAGUUCUCAAAAGCUCAGAUGAAGCUUUCAGCCUCACUUCCUCGCGGAUCUCCCCGCGCACUAAGGACUUCCAGACCUUCCAGUGGGAGUCUGAGCAGCACAGAGGAGAUUUCUCUCAGACUGGGCAAAGAACGAGACUGCAGGGGCAAAGACCCGGUGGACUGGCUGUAUGGUCAGAUAAGGACUUGAACAUUGAGGUUGUUGUUGUUGUUGAAAGUCCUGGGGGCACUUUGGAGGAGAAUCCCGGAUCAAACAAGGCUGGAAGAACCUGCUCUAUUCAGGAGGAUUUGAACAAAGCAAUGUCUGAUGGGACUUAUUAUGUUUGCUAGACAAAAUCCCCUUAUUAUUCUUCAGUAAAAUGAAGACGUCUUUAUUUUUUAUGCACUGAGGACCGAAGUCUACAUGUUUACAUUUUUAAAUAUUUUGUAAAGAUUCAAAGGAUAUAGUUUGUAAUAAAAUGCAAAAAAAUAAU
Long non-coding RNA from Platichthys flesus (European flounder), 776 nucleotides. RefSeq lists it as uncharacterized. The transcript is spliced from 2 exons. The record is from RefSeq and is a predicted model, not a curated record. Lineage: Eukaryota; Metazoa; Chordata; Actinopteri; Pleuronectiformes; Pleuronectidae.